CCCUACAAGGACAAAGAUGCCUGAAU
This 26-nucleotide non-coding RNA is filed under the name Mus musculus (house mouse). Lineage: Eukaryota; Metazoa; Chordata; Mammalia; Rodentia; Muridae. The record is from RNAcentral.